GGAGGUAUAGCUCAGUGGUAGAGCGCAUGCUUAGUAUGCAGCAAGGUCUUGGGUUCAAUCCUCAAUCCCUCCA
Molecule: transfer RNA, 73 nt
Filed under: Camelus bactrianus (Bactrian camel)
Lineage: Eukaryota; Metazoa; Chordata; Mammalia; Artiodactyla; Camelidae
Also listed under: 2 other names
Rfam family: tRNA
About the family: Transfer RNA (tRNA) molecules are approximately 80 nucleotides in length.
Source: Rfam by way of RNAcentral